This is a non-coding RNA of Rattus norvegicus (Norway rat), 14926 nucleotides long. The record is from RefSeq and is a predicted model, not a curated record. NCBI's taxonomy places the organism in Eukaryota, Metazoa, Chordata, Mammalia, Rodentia, Muridae.
CGGCGCCGGGGGUGGCGAGGGCCGGGCGACCGCUCGCUCCGCGCUGCCUCGGUGCAGGGCGAGCGGAGGGGCUUUGCAGCGGCCGCCGCCGCGGGAGGAGGGGGUUGAGCUGGCUCCGGAGUUGGCCAAAGAAGCUAGCCCUCGAAGGCACGAGCAGCCGGCGCCUUCGGCAGAGGAGGAGGAGGAGGGAUCGCGUCGGGCGGAGCUUCAGGUCCUGUUCGCCUCUCCGGCUUCUCCAUACAAAGAUUACGGUGCAGAAGGAAAUUGCACUCGCCUCCUCCGCCCCCCGGUACCCAGCACAAUGCACCAGCCGCCAGAGUCCACCGCCGCGGCGGCCGCUGCUGCAGACAUUAGUGCUAGGAAGAUGGCGCACCCGGCAAUGUUCCCUCGAAGGGGCAGCGGUGGUGGCAGCGCCUCUGCUCUCAGUGCAGCAGGUACCGGCGUCAGUGGUGCUGCUCCAUCUUCUGAAGAUUUUCCUCCUCCUUCUUCGCUGCUCCAGCCGCCGCCUCCUGCUGCAUCUUCCACACAGGGACCACAGCCUCCGCCUCCACAAAGCCUGAACCUCCUUUCACAGGCUCAGCUGCAGGGACAGCCUCUUGCGCCAGGCGGAACUCAGAUGAAAAAGAAAAGUGGCUUCCAGAUAACUAGCGUUACUCCGGCUCAGAUCUCUGCCAGCAUCAGCUCGAACAACAGCAUAGCAGAGGACACCGAGAGCUAUGAUGACCUGGAUGAGUCGCACACGGAAGAUCUCUCUUCUUCCGAGAUCCUUGAUGUCUCCCUUUCCAGGGCCACUGACUUAGGUGAGCCUGAACGCAGUUCCUCCGAGGAGACUCUGAAUAACUUCCAGGAAGCUGAGACACCUGGGGCAGUCUCUCCUAACCAGCCCCACCUUCCUCAGCCUCAUUUGCCUCACCUUCCACAACAGAACGUUGUGAUCAAUGGGAACGCUCAUCCACACCACCUCCAUCACCACCAUCACAUUCAUCAUGGGCACCACCUUCACCACGGACACCACCAUUCAUCACAUGCUGCUGUGGCCAGUACAUCCGUUCCUGGAGGGCCACCACCCACGAGCCCCGUGUCCAGGAAACUCUCUACAGCUGGAAGUUCUGACGGUGGUGUGCCAGUCCCACCUACUUCUGCUGUAUCAUCGGCUGGCUUACCUGCCUCAGUGAUGACGAGCAUCCGUGCUCCAAGCACUCCAGGCAGCAUAGGUGUAAAUUCAGUUACCGGCACGAAUGCAACGAAUAAUGUUAACAUUGCUGCUGUGGGUGGUUUCAGUCCCGGUGUGGCGAACAGCGUGCAUCCCAAUGCUGUUAGUAUAAGUGGUGGGCCUGGAGUUACCAGCGGUGUUAAUGUGAAUGUCUUGAGUGGCAUGGGCAACGGUACCAUUUCUUCUCCUGUCCUUAACGCAGCUGCAGGUAUCACGGUGGGAGUGGUUUCAAGUCAGCAGCAGCAGCCGCAGCAGCCGCCGCCAACAGUUAACACAUCAAGGUUCAGAGUUGUGAAGUUAGACUCUACUUCUGAACCCUUUAAAAAAGGCAGAUGGACUUGCACUGAAUUCUAUGAGAGAGAAAAUGCUGUGCCAGGUCCAGAAGGCGUGGCCAUAAAUAAAGUGGUGGAGACCGUGAAGCAAACCCCCACGGAAGCGUCCUCUUCGGAGAGGGAGAGCACUAGUGGGAGUUCCGUGAGCAGUAGUGUCAGCACACUGAGUCACUACACAGAGAGUGUGGGAAGCGGAGAGAUGGGAGCCCCUACUGUGGUGGUGCAGCAGCAGCAGCCGCUACCACCAGCACCACCAGGUCUUCAAGGCGUGGCCCUCCAACAGCUAGAUUUCAGUAGCCCUGGUCCACAGAGUAUUUCUCAGUCACAGAUGUCACAGGUACAACUACAGCCUCAAGAAUUGAGCUUUCAGCAGAAGCCAAAUCUUCAACCUGUUCCUCUGCAAGCCACUAUGAGCGCAGCAACUGGUAUCCAGCCUUCACCUGUCAACGUGGUGGGUGUAACGUCAGCUGUAGGUCAACAGCCUUCCAUUUCCAGUCUGGCUCAGCCCCAGCUGCCGUAUCCUCAGCCAGCUCCUCCCGUGCAAACUCCUCUUCCAGGGGCACCACCCCAGCAGUUACAAUAUGGGCAACAGCAACCAAUGGUUCCUACGCAGAUAGCCCCAGGCCAUGGCCAGCCAGCAACUCAAAACCCUCCUUCAGAGUACGCACAGCAGCAGCCAAUAUUCCAAGCGGCAAUGUCCUCUGGACAGUCCAGUUCCACAGGCACAGGAGCGUCAGUGAUUCCCGUGGCUCAGCCACAAGGGAUCCAGCUGCCAGUGCAGCCCACAGCAGUACAAGCACAACCUGCAGGGGCGACUGGGCAGCCCAUUGGCCAGGCUCCAACAGCAGUGUCUACUGUACCAGCUGGUGGUCAGAUUGCAAGUAUCGGUCAGCAGGCAAACAUACCCACUGCAGUACAGCCACCCUCUACCCAAGUUACACCUUCAGUUGUUCAGCAAGGUGCUCCUCCAUCUUCACAAGUAGUCCUACCUGCUCCAACUGGGAUCAUUCAUCAGGGCGUUCAAACCAGUGCUCCAAGCCUUCCUCAGCAAUUGGUUAUUGCACCCCAGAGUACCAUGGUAGCGGUGCCUCCCCAGACACAGGGAGUGGAAGCAGUGGCUCAUGGAGUUGUUUCCCACCAGUUGCCCACAGGUAGUCCUUUGCCCUCUGCUAGCACCAUUUCUGUUACAAGUCAGGUUAGUUCAGCUGGUCCUUCUGGAAUGUCUUCUGUCCCAACAAACUUAGUUCCACCACAGAAUAUAGCACAACCCCCAGCCACCCAAAAUGGCAGUUUGGUUCAAAGUGUUAGUCAAUCUCCAUUGAUAGCCACUAACAUAAAUUUGCCUUUGGCACAACAGAUACCGCUAAGUUCUACUCAGUUCUCUACACAAUCAUUAGCUCAGGCAAUUGGAAGCCAAAUGGAAGACACCAGGCGUCCAGCGGAGCCCUCCUCAGGCGGCUUACCUCAGACUCUCAGUGGUGACAGUGGGGGAGUGUCAGCAGUCUCAGAUGGGAGUAGCAGCAGCCUAGCAGCCUCUGCUUCUCUCUUCCCGUUGAAGGUGCUACCGCUGACAACACCCCUGGUGGAUGGCGAGGACGAGAGAUAAAAUGGACCUGCCUGUUGGUUGCCGGUGUGGUGCUCCAGGAGUUUCUCCCAACAGUUAUGUCACUCUUGAAUAUUUAUAAGCCUUGUAAAAGAUGAUUCCUUUUACUGUCCACAGUACAGUCCUGUGGCUGCCUUGCUCCUCCCUCGGUCCCCAGACAAUUGCUGUAUUGGAAGGGGUGGGUCCCCCUCUCAGAAUUCCUUCCUCCUUCCUUCUCCUGGUCUCCCAAGUUGUGUGUGCCUUGGUCUCCACCUGGGCAGCGUCCUUCCUCGGCUCUCUGGUGGUUUCUUGCUUGUGUGCUUGCACUGUAGUCCAGAGGAUGGAGGACUACUUAGAACAUUUCACCAGGGUUGCUCUUAGUGUGGAACUUGGCUUGGGGCCCACGGCUGGAGUGCAUGGUCCCCAUUGAACCUUGUACUUCAUCUCUGCUUGUCACUAAUUGUCUAUCACCAGCCCCUCAGCCUCAGCCUUUCUCUAGGAAAGUCCAGGGUCGCGUAGGCUCGCUACUUACUGUUGCUCUUGGCUUCUCUCUCCUUCACUUCUCCUGUGGUAUAGCUUCAUUUUCACAGCCUGUGUUGACUUCAUUCUUGAUUGGCCUGCUGUUUUUAGAUGGUGUCAGCUUAUCCCACUUGAUGCCUUUGUUUAGGUAAAGGACACCAGGUUGUUCUCUUACAACUUUUUAUUGACAACACUUCCUGGCUUCCAUACUGCUUUUGAGAAUUCUAUAGCCAUUUUGGUUUCUUAAUGCCAUAUGUGGCCUGUCUUUGUUUUUCCUCUCUUUCAUUCUUCCCCUUCCUCUCUUCUCAUUUUAAAAACAUCUAUGAAAGCUUUUAAAGUUUGUUUCCAGUGUUAUGAAUUUUACACGGAUGGCAUGUGUGUGGUAGGGGAGCGUGAUUCUGCUUUUUUUUUUUUAUUGUGUGCUAUUUAACCUGCAAACUUUGGGGUACUGAGUUUGAAUCCAGGGCUUCAGACUUGGCAAAGGAUCUGCCAAUGAACCACAUUCCAGAAUUUUUCCUCAAAUUUAUUUGUAUGAUGGGCCUUCCUGGCUGAUCUUCUAAUUUCCUUGGUUUCUACUGAGUUUCUCUUACAUUUAAUUUCCAAGAGCCUUUUUUUGGUUGCAGAUCUUUGCCUUUUUAAAAAACUGUAUAUUGCUCCAGUUUAAUUUAACAGAGCUUUCUCUUAGCUCUGUGCACACGUUAGAUUUGAUUUAUCACACAGGGUUUCUCUGUGUAGUUCAGGCCUUGAACUUGGCAUUCUCCAGCCCUGCCCCUCCAGUGUGUCAUCAUGCCUAGCUCUUUAAAAGUUUUCUUUCUGUGGGGUCUGCUUUUCCCAGGUUUCAUUUUCUCUCUUACCUUGGUCUGUGUCUUUCAUUUCAAUAGAACCUUUAGGUAGUUGGCAGUUGUGUGUAAGAGUAAGCAGUGUUGGUUACAGAUUCUCAACAAAGUUUGUCGACCAUCAGCUCCACUAGUCUAGAGUAGACUAGAUGGUAACCUGACUGGGCUGUUCCACUGGGGGUCCUGACAUCUUUGUACCUCCCCUUAGUUGAUUAACUCCUGAUCUGUCCACAAGGGCUGCAGGGAGGGGGGGGCGUAGAGGAAUGAAAAGUCUUGGAUCCCCAGCUCACAUCUUCAUUCAGCCGAGUUCCACUCCCCGCCUUGCCUUCUGCUGUGUGCUUCGCUCCCUCAGUCUGUGCUUUGCAAGCGCCCCCCCUUGGUCUGCAGACUUGGCUGUUGGGUAAGAAGCAGUGCCUGUGCUGCUGCCAGUUCCAGGGCCUUUGGGGCUUUUUGAAGUUUCGGUUGGAUUUGUUUCUGGCUUUGUUUGCUGAAUCUGAUUGUUUUUUCUGUUUGUGAAGUCAGUUGUCACUCAACCGUCUGCUUCCUAGCAUCCAGAUUUGUUUUACUGCUGUCUUUUCAUGGCCUGUUGUUUUUUUUUUUUUUUUUUUUGUUUUAAAUAGGCUUACGUUUCUAUACCUUUCCUUUUAUUUAUUUGAGAUAGGGCCUCAAAAAUUCACUUUAAAAGCAAAAGAAUAUAUAUGAUUUCUUAUCUAGAAAUUUAAAACUUGAAACUGAAAAAAACCUGGCUUGGAGUCACAGUCAAAGCCUUGUCCCUUGGGUUUGGUUGCCACCAUGAAGGCCGGAUGGCAUGGCAGACUAUGCACUUCCUUGUUUCUUGUUCUUGCUUUUUGACAUGGCAUGCUCCUUAUAUAGCAGGGACUAGUCUCUUACAGCAGUUCUCUUGCCUCAGCCUUCCAGGUGCUGGGAUUCCUGAUAAGGCCUACCAUACACGGCUUCAGACAUCCCCUCAUGACUCAUUCAAAGGAAGGUACAGGAGAAGAAAAAGUAACCCAUCUUCACUUAUAUUGUAAAUGGAGGGUUGUGGUCUCACAGACAGAAAUGCCUUUUUUUCCCCACCAUUUCUUCAUCCUGACCAGAAAGUCACCUCUGCUGCCUUCUGCCACCUGACCGCACUCCCUCCUGCAGCACUCCAGCUGACCAAGACACCCUUCUUUGUUUUUUGUUGUUUUGUUUUGUUUCCCACUUUCUCGCCAUCCUGUGUUGGUCUCUUUGAGAUCAUUCUCUGCCAAACGGUCAGUGUCAGCUUCCCCAGCCUUGGAUUCUCACAGGCUGCUCCCAGUCUGUUGUCUUGCUUAGGUAAGGUAGUACUGACUGGCCCCAAACUUGAGGCAGCCAUCCUGCUGUAGCCUCCCUGGUGCUGGGCUCACAGGCAUGAGCCUGUGCCUGCAGAUCUCCUCUGUCUUCCCAGGCCGUCAACCUAACGCUGCUGUUUAGGCCUUCUAGUUGUUCUGUUAUGGGGAAUCUCCGUCUUACUUUAGACACCUAGAUUACAUUCCUCAUGUCUUUCCUCACCCGCUCCUUCCUGAACGGAACAUCCAUCCUUACUUUUCUUCCGUCUCUUCCCUGCUGGCACAGUUCCAGUCCAAGAGAAAACAGCCUUCACUUAAAAGAGGUGCUGCCUGUGGUAGCUUUCUCACUGAGCGACCCGCACACAUCCUGCCUUUCUCUGCUACUGCGCUGCAGUCUGAAUGAUGCUUUUAAUGUGGAAGUCGUAUGUAAUUCACUUGCCUAGAUCCCCUUAGUAAAGCCUUCCCCUCUGGUGUAAGGUAAUUCCUUCUGUUUUUGCCUGCUCCUGGCCUCCUAUCAGGCUCCAUUUCCCCAGGAAAGGUUUAUUUUGGCUCCUGGUUUUAGAAGGUUCUGUCCUUGGUUGCUUGGCCUCGUGCGCCUGGUAGUGGGAGCAUGUGGCAAGGGCUCGCUGUUCUUGGCAGACAAGAAACAGAUAAAAGGGAAAGUAAACAUUCGCCUCUCUCAGUGCUGGGCUUGGAGCCUGUGGCCUUGUGCAUGCCAGGCAAGUGCUCUACCACUGAGCUCCACCCCUGCUUCCACUGCCCCUGCUUCAUUCCUUGUGACACUCGAUGACCUCUCAGGAACCUUCUGACCUGCCUCCCAUUCUCCUCUGGGCAUUUGAACAUAAACAUGACCAAGGUCACCUCCUCAACUCUUUCUUAAAGUUUAAUUUUUUUUUCUCUUUUGAGACAAGAUCUUGCUAUGUAGCCUAGGCCAACCUUGAAAUAGCUAUGUAGCCCAGAUGGCCUUGAAUUUGUGCUCUUCCUGCUUCGGCCUCCAGCGCCCUGGGGUUACAGGUAUGUACCACCGCACCUGGCUAAACCGUUCACUUUUGGGAGGGCCUCUGACAUACCGAUUUAAAUUGAGGUUGUUAAAACUAAUUAAAAGCACCUUGUUACUUUUGUUUGUAAUACCUGUUAUAAUUUAUUACUGUAUGUGAUUAUCUGAUAAAAUUUUAACCUCUGUGACAGGAAUGUUUGGAAUCUACCAGUAUCCAAAACUUAUUUCAGUGUUUACAGCGAUGGUGAGAGCCUGUUUCAUGAAGAAAAUCUACUCUUAAUCAUGGCAUAAGAACCGGGAAAUCAAAUGCAUCUUUUUUAGAGACUAGAAUUAAAUUCCUUAGAGGUUACCGUGACAUCAUCAGCUUUUGUCUUUGAUAUGAUUGAGACUUGCUUUACUUUUUGCUGCUUCUCAGUUGACUAUUCUUUUUCUAAACAAGCACUGUGUUUUGUUUAUUUUGUAUUCUUUAAAACUGUUAAAAAAUCUUUAACUUGAAUGAAACAACAACAAAAAAAACCCCUCCAUUUAUUUGGUAAUUUGAAUAAUCAGUAUUUUUCCUACUUUUGACUGGCAUAGCUAUUUUCCAUUAAAUGGUUCUAAAAUAUCUAGGUAUUAUCUUGGGACUCCUUUGCAAUCAGCUGUUCAAAACAGGCUUUGAGCUUGUAGAAUGCCACUUGCUUCUGUUGAGGGUUUUAUUUGUUUCCUUCUAACCAGUUAGUAAAUGUUGUUUACAGUUUCUGUGAUGUUUUACUCGUGGUCAUUGUUAGAUGCCUGUUAUGCAGAAGAGGAAAGUAGGGUUCUUCAGAUGGAGAAGAACCAUAGCAGGGCUGCAGUGGUCAGAAGUAACAGUCAGCUUUAAAGACUGUCUGUGUGUGUCGAGAAGCAUUGGGAGGCAGAUGAGACCUCUGUUCUGAAGGGUAGGACACUGAUGGUGGUAAUACUAAGAGCAGCAACACCCCCACCAGCAGGAGGGGAAAUGAUGCACUGCACUGAUCGCCAGAGGCUAGUUUGAAACCUAGUGAAAGAGUCUCCCUCCAUCACCGUGAACUUGUCAGAUGUUCAGCCUGGUUGCCUGUCAGAGAACCAUUUUGUGUUGACUGGGGAGACUAACUGUGACCUGGUUUCAUAAAGGAUCAGUGUUAGGUCAUGGUGCAUGGUGUGGCUUUGCUCAUCCUGGGAGCCACAGAGCAACUGUGCACUUUCUGUAGUUAAGACAGAUGAAGUAAUGGCUUACUCUUCCAGGGCCCUCACAUUUUCUUAGUAACACCUAACUACCCAGUUUGGGGGAUUCUUGAUAGCCCAUUUACAUUUCUGAGUAUUAUUUGACUUUCAAAUUCAGAAUUGUUUGUUGAUAAAAACAAUUUUCUCAUAGCUCAUUCUGGUUAUUUAGUUAUUACCUUUUUUUGUUUUUUUGUCUUUAGGCCUUCAUAGUGUGUGUGUACAAAUGUAUAUUGACUAAUUAGGAAUGCUUUGAAAGGACACACAUACAGUUGAAAUGACACCAGUUAAAAUUGCCACGUGGUUAUGGUGUAUCUCAGUAGCAGUAGUAAUAAGAUUACUUUCAUGUAAUUUUUAAUUUGUUUUUAGCUUAGCACUUAGACAAUGACCUCUUGGGGGUCUGUCCUGCCUUGGAGUUGAUAGUUUCUGCCAUGUGUUGUGUGCUGCUCAGACUCUAAUAACACCAGUGGUGGCUUUGAAGUAGAGUUGUAGAGAACCAAUUCUACUGUCCGAGUUGUCUGAGCACAGAGGUGUUACUUAAUCCUCAGGACAUCUUUUUGGCUUCAUAUUUAUCCUCAUUUUACAGGUGAGGAAACUGAGAAUAGAGAAAGAAGCCUUUUAUUCAGGGUCACCUGCCUGUAUAGUGGAAUCUGAGAUUUGUGUAUGGAAUUCUGGUUUCAGGGUUUGGACUUUGACUUUCUUCUCAUGGCUGCAGCAAAAUAACUGACAGGAAACAGUGGGUGGGUGUUGGGAUGGAUAUGAAUGCUGCUGCUCAGCUCACUCUCCCAUUUCCAGUCACCAGGACCCCCACCUAUGGAACGGUAACCUCCACAUUUAGUUCAUUGUAGAGAUUUCUUCAUGCCUAAAGAUUUCAUUUUGUGGCCCUUCUAAAUCUCAAGUCGAAAUAUCACACUUUAGCAGCAUGUGAUCAGAACCAGUUAUCUGCGUUCUCAAGUUAAAGUAUGUUGGGAGGCACUGAGACACUGCAUUUUCUGCUACCACAGUAGAAUUAUUAAUAAAAACAUUGUGAUAUAAUAGAGGGCCUCUUUGAUUUUGUUUUGUAUUUUGAUUUGGCGUGUUGGAAAGGGUGGCUGUUUCAGGGUAUUUUUGAAGAAAGGAGGACUCUAGUUAACUUUGUUUUGUAAGGAAGUUCUAUGUUUGACCUCAGGCUCAUCUUUUUGAUUGGUCUCUUUAGAUAACUGUUGUAUUUGUGACAGUUAUACAGUUUCUUUUGUUGAAUAUAGUCCUGUUUUAAAAUUUACUUUAAAAAGAUAGACUUGAGUUUGCCAUAAAAAUAUGCCCCCAACUGAGCACUUGGCCCUGAGUACUUAUGUCUUUGGGCGUUCCUUCAGGUGUCCGGUCACAAAGGCAGUGAGCCUCGUGAGUGGCCACAGCGUCUGUUUUCUGUGAGGAACCCAGUGAUAUGUCCGCAGCUCUCCUCUAGCAUGCUCAGUAGGGCUUCCCCUCACACUCGUCCUGCAUUGCUUUUGACUCCAGCAUGGGCAUGGCCGAUGUUGUAGGUAACUGUAGAAUCUGCAUGGUGGUCCAGCAUUUUCGUCAGCUCUGUUCCGCUCCCCUUUCUCUCCUGCAUACACCCCAGCUGCUGUCUUUACUGUUCUCUUCCUUCAUGGAAUUCCACACACGCUCCUGAGUUACUGUUUGAAGUUGGGUGUUCACAUUUGUUCACUGCUGGAAUCGCUAACACUUGGUUCCUAGCAAGCACUUCUUCGGGUUUUAAACUUCACAGAAGGGAGGAUGGAGAACAGGACUAUGGUUUUACGUCUAUCCUCAUGUCCUGUUGGAUUAAAGACUACUCCACACUCCAGUCCUUUUAGCUUCUUCUCUUGGCAGAUUUAUACAAUGGGGAUAAAUUUAUAAGGGCCUGUGGACCCCUGAGAGGAAGACAGUGAUGGCAUCCCUUUUGCUGUGGUUAGCAUUUCCAAGUUUAUUGCCUCGUAUUUUACUUGGAAUUGUGGGAGUCUAAUCACAAUUCAGAAGAAUAACAGGAGACACCUUUCUUUCUUUUUUUUUUUUUAAGACAGAUCUCACUGUGUAACCCUUAUUUGUCUUGGAACUUACUUACUGUGUAGCCUAGCCUGUCCUUAAUGUCACAGAGAUCUAUCUGCCUUGCCUCCCAAGUGCCAGGAUUAAAGGCAGAUGCCACCACGUCCAGUGAGCCAGUUUAAUGCUGUGAAUGAUCAGUAAAUGAAACUGGCAGCCGUCUGUUUUCAGUUCUAAGCUUACUUACGGUGUUUGCCUUAAGCUCAGCAUAACUUCCAUUACAAUAGUUUAAAAGCAGAAACCUCGUUCUAAUUAAUCGAGUUGUAAUAGCGUACUUAAUACUCAGGUCUUUCAUUCUGAGUUGUUGCAGCUUAUGCUUGUCAAUGAACUACAGAAGUGCUGCCUUAUAUGAGCGAUUAAUAAUGCAGUCUAAUAGUGGUGUUUACCGCUUUUGCCCCUGUCUGCUGGAAGGUAAACCCAUUCGUUGUUGGCAAGGUUUCGGUAGGUGUCUUACUGGAGAGUUGUUGCAGAAGUUAGUCACAUUCGUUCUUGUCCAUGAGUGAGCAUGGGAGCUGUUGAAGGUGAUGGCUGGGGUUUUCGGGGUGUGAUGGGUAUGGAUUGUGCCCUGUCUGCUCCCUAACUCCCGCUGUCACAGGUAGGAGGGAGCAGCUGCUGGUGAAAGCACCUCAGUUUACACCCACACGGGGGCUGCUCCUAGACCUGCCGUCUCCCCGGGCCAGGCCAGAAGUUGGAGGAGAGCAUCUUAAGGAGUUAAACUUGUGGAAGGUAAGGCUCAUUUUGGGAUUUUUCUUAGUUUCAAUUAUUUUUCUAGUUGUACUCAGAGUCUAAGCCCACGAGGCUUUACAAUGGCUUAUAAAUAGAUCUAAUAUGUAAAACCAAAAGCUUUUAAGAAUAGAGGCUGGUCUAACAGAGCCAAGCUGUACUGUAUUUGAGCUUUUGAAUAGGGAACUUAAAUCCCAUUAAUACUGAGUCUAAAUACUGUGAGUACUGAAUAACUGAGGUUUGAGUUAGAGAUUGAUCAAAUCACCAGGAAAUGAACAAAGAAAACCAGGACGGUGGUCAGCCAUUAGAGAGGGCGGUAAGGAAAGACGCAGUUGUCACAGUUGGUAAUUUUUGUGGAGCAACUUGGUACAACUUACUCUGCAGGGCUAUUCUCCAGUCGUUGCCUACAUUUGGAGGUCUACUCAUAGGAAGUUAAGAUGGCAGCAGCUAGUUUAGGGCCUUGUCUGUUAGUCCAGAGUGCUCUUCACAGUACUCCAUAGAGAUGUACUGUCUCAGAAACACCGAGUGCUUCAUACAGACUGAAAGAUGUAAAGGGAAAAGCCCAUGAGAUCUUCCCGUGUUUUAAGCAUCAUAGACCUUGAUGUCUUCCAGAUUAAGUAUGUGCUCGGUUGUUCCAUAUAUAGUGCACAUGACAGCUUUUGCAUUCAGAUAAUUGAUCAACAAGACUGUUCGUGCUUUCAGCAUAUGAUGAGGUAGAUUUUACUGAGCGUCACUUUUGGCAUCAGACCUGGUCUCUAGCCUAUUUCUUUUACCUCUUAACUGUAUGACUCUGAUAAGUGAGUUAAACUUUGUUAGUCCAGUUUCCUUACCUGAUCUGUGGAGUAGAACAUAACCCUGGUACUAUUUGGGAAGAUCAAAGGAGAUAGCUGUGUAAUACAUCGUGGCUGUGUUCAUGGUCGCUGUUCAUAUUGCGCCAAGUUAGAAGGUCCUCUGUAGCAUUGUGAGUUAAAGUAGAGAGCUUGCCUGCCAGGCUAAGACUUCUACAGAUGACAGCCUUCUCACAAGUCAUUCUGGGUCUCUGUGAUAUUUCGUACAGUCUGGGUCACCAGGGUUACACGAAAGAACUUGUCUAUACAGUGGCCUCUUUCUCAUUUCUACCAAGCAUGGUGUAUAUUGAGUGCCUUCAUUCUGUUAAAAACAAACCUACUCCAUUCAGUGAAGACACCAGGGGUUGGUUGUUUUUCUGAAUUCCACUCUGAGUAUCUGAUGAAUACGUGGGUUAAGUUCACAAAUGCAGAAGUAGUUACUAAAUACCUUUCCAUCUUUGUUUCUAAUGGGAGUGACGUGGACUGAGGGGAAGGACAGUGUCAUGUGGCAGAGCAGACUCAACUUCCAGAGGAAGGGAUCUGGAACUCUGUGAAGAUUGUUUUAGAUGGGCGCAGUGCCCCGAAGACCAUCUGUUCAAUUCUCAGCCCCAUAUGGGAUGGUAAACAUCUCAGAGAUGAAUGAGACUGAUCAAUCAGCUCUAUUUCAGUGCUUCUCUCCUACCAGAGGUGCAAGGAGUGAUCCUAGAGCCACAGAUACAGCCAAGACCACGGGGAGCUUUGACGUCAGGGCUCCACUUUCUCCACUGAACCCUUGGAGACAGAAUACCCAGCUUCUGGAGAGAGUGGGAAAGGAUAAUAAACAAGUGGGUGCUUUCCGUUACUUACUGGGGUUUAUCUGUAGAGUGGAGUGUCUUUCCAUUGCCCAUUUAUUCUGUUGGUGAUCCCCUUGGCUUCUUCCCAGAGCCAGGUGCGACUCUGUGUUUCCUGAGAGAACUGUCUAGUGCCCAUUCACAAAACAACCGCAAAUCUAUUUAAUUCUCUCCAGAUAAUUAAUGCAGUGGCUAAUCUGGGGCACACACAGUUUGUUCCAUGCCUGUGUAGUUCACAGGAAUUAAAGAAAGGCAGUCAUUUUCUGCAUGGGCCUUUAUUGUAACAGUGGACUUGAUAGAGUUCUUGUAGAGUCCGGAAAUUGAAGUUUCUGUGCUUCAUCUUUGAACUGGACACCUGAAAUCUCUAAACUUAUAUAGUUGAAUAUUCAGGUGUCACCCUGCCCUGUUAGUGAGGGUAUUUUGGUCUUUUUUCUACCUUAAGUGUUAGGCCUUCACACUCAGUCUCUUAGGAGAUGGAAUUUUAGGACUGUUGUGGCUUUACUGUCAAAUGUAGGCUUCAUUCUUUAAGACAAUAAAUAUGAACGAAUAUAAGUUUCAGAAGUUAAUGUCCCUGAAAGCUAUGUAAUCAAAAGUUUUCUAGUCCCUUGGAAUGUAACUUAUGCCAACACUGUAUUUUUUCCUAGGGCAUUAAGAUGGUUCUUUCUUAGUUUCUCUGAUGCCAGGGGUAGGGUGUGAGUCCAGGCAUUUCUUACCAUCUGCAGUGGGUAGAAUGUGAACUUGGUGCCUUGGCAAGUUUUCAUUGUUUCCUUGGUGGCUUCUUCUGUGACUCCAGGUAUCUUGAUAAUGGGAGACCGGUUUAUUUGUUCUCUAAUUGCCCAGAUUUCUUUCAACUGGUAAAACAUCAUACCUCUUCAGCAAAAGGAACUCCUCUAGCAGAGCCCUCAUGGAUGAUAUCUGUCACACAUGGCAGCACCUGCAGUUUGGAAGGCAGUGGUGAAUGGAUCCAUGCAAUAUGUCUAGAAGACACAAGGAUGAGCCAACCACCUGAUCUUGUUACUUACAAACUUUUAAGAUUUACUCUGGUUUACUUUUGGUCUGAAAAUGGAAAGGCUCAAGUAAUGAAGUAAUCUUUUCAUUUUGGAGUUUUACAUGGCCAUGAAAAUAUUUCUUAUUCUGAAGACUGAAAUAGAGGAAGCUUGAGAGUCUUGUCUUUCAAAGCAGCUCUCUGUAUCCGUUUCACUUAAAGAUUUGUGGAACUGAAAAUCAUUUUAAUCACAUAGGCAACCCCCACUUUAAAAAGUAGCGAAAAAAAUACAGAAAGCUUGAGGAACCCUUCCACCACCUCCUCCUUUGUCACCCAGUGCUAAAGGGGACAGCAAAUAAAGGGUGAGCUCGAGACUUAGUAUUAGGAUGUACUCUUGGCUCAUCUCUUGCUGGCCCCGAGCCUUAUUUUUGCUGUAAUUUAUCAAAUGAUGAAAGCUGUGGAGCUGUCUUCUGUGUUCCUAGGCAGUAAAUAAACGCCUGCUAGGGUUUACGCUGUACUGACGGCGUCCUGCCGCUGAGUGAUGGAGCAGAGGUGCCCGUCAGAAUGAACCUGUAGGUGUGAGUGGUCUUGAGGUACUUGUCCAAAUUACCAAUUGGCAGAGGCUGUCAAAAUGACAUUUCUUUCUUUGGUUAUCUAGUAACUGGCCAGUCAAAACUAUUGAAGAAAACCGUGACAGUCACCUGAUACUGCCAGUUCCUUUUAAGUUAGAGUAAGUUUUAAGAAGAGAAAUUGUAGAAUUAAUAAUAGGACUACUAAAAUGUUAGCCUCUCAAAAUUUAAGACUAUCAGCUAAGAGAUAAUCUACUUUUAGUCUUUGUUGGCUAUAAGAACUAUUUCUUAAUUAUAAAUCAUUUUUUAAAAGUAUAAUGCUUAAAAAGUAGAUAUUAAAGAUAAUUUUGAACUAAAAAAUUCCCCAUGGAACUCUGAAUUCCUGUAGAAUGAUUACAGCUUUGUAGUCCUGACUUAAUAAGAUAAUUCACAAGUGCAUAUAAACGAAAAACAAAUGAAUAUUUUAGAAGGAAUUCAGAACUGAAAGCAAGAUUUACAUAGAAAUCCUGUGGCAUUCUUUAAAGCACAGUACAACCCAUUUUAUGGCCUGAGUCCACUAGCCUUUUGUCUUGGCACUGAAGACAAAGUGAUUUAACCUUGGAAUCUCAAGCUUUAAUGAAUUUCAGCUCUGUCCCUUAAAGUCUGCAAACGAGAUGUAAGUUCAUAUCCACUCCCCAUCACUACAAGCUACUGCAAAGGGAAACUGUGUAUCACUGUGAACUGUUUUGUUUGGAUUUUAAUUUUGAUGCAUUUUCUUUUUAGAUUCUUAAAGAACAAUUUCGUGUCACAAUUUGCAAUCUAUAUCUUUCCAUGUUUAUUUUAUGAAUAUUAAUAUAAGUGAUUUUUCUCUAGAAUGAUAUAUUGUAUAAUAUUUGUAUUAUGUGAUCAUUUGAAAACUAAUAAAUAUUUUCUCCAUGAAAAAAA